CCUACGGGAGGCAGCAGUGAGGAAUAUUGGUCAAUGGGCGCGAGCCUGAACCAGCCAAGUAGCGUGAAGGCUGACUGCCCUACGGGUUGUACACUUCUUUUAUAAAGGAAUACAGUGAGGCACGUGUGCCUUUUUGUAUGUACUUUAUGAAUAAGGAUCGUCUAACUCCGUGCCAGCAGCCGCGGUAAUACGGAGGGUCCGAGCGUUAUCCGGAUGUAUUGGGUUUAAAGGGCGCGUAGAUGGGUUGUUAAGUCAGUUGUGAAAGUUUGCGGCUCAACCGUAAAAUUGCAAUUGAUACUGGCAGUCUUGAGUACAGUUGAGGUAGGCGGAAUUCGUGGUGUAGCGGUGAAAUGCUUAGAUAUCACGAAGAACUCCGAUUGCGAAGGCAGCUUACUAAACUGCCACUGACAUUGAUGCUCGAAAGUGUGGGUAUCAAACAGGAUUAGAUACCCGAGUAGUC
RNAcentral lists this ribosomal RNA (460 nucleotides) under uncultured bacterium. RNAcentral describes it as "partial 16S ribosomal RNA". It matches the Rfam family "Bacterial small subunit ribosomal RNA", at positions 338 to 795 of the family's 1533-position model. The record is from RNAcentral.